CUUACCUGGCAGAGAUGGCACGUUGAUCAUGAAGGAAGGAUGCUCACGUUCCAAGCGUCUGUCUUAACAAGCGUUCUGUUCC
This 82-nucleotide microRNA precursor is filed under the name Branchiostoma floridae (Florida lancelet). Its description in RNAcentral is "microRNA bfl-mir-2065 precursor". Lineage: Eukaryota; Metazoa; Chordata; Leptocardii; Amphioxiformes; Branchiostomatidae. The record is from miRBase by way of RNAcentral.